Molecule: long non-coding RNA, 201 nt
Filed under: Lathyrus oleraceus (garden pea)
Lineage: Eukaryota; Viridiplantae; Streptophyta; Magnoliopsida; Fabales; Fabaceae
Description: Pisum sativum (pea) long non-coding RNA (PSAT_LNC004406)
Source: RNAcentral
UGUGUUCAUUGUUUUUUUUUCUCUUUUUUCUUUUUAGAAUUACUUAUAUUUGAUUGAUGAUGAUAAAGUACAUUGUGUUUAUGUUUAAUCAAAUUAUUUUAUUUGUACUUAUGUCUUAUUCAUAUUUGUGUCUUAUUCUUGAUUGUGUCUUAUACAUAUUUACGUAUAUCUUUCUGCUAUGUUUGUGUCUUAUUCUUGAUU